GCGCUCCCCUAGGCAACAUGUCUACCCAAAGUGGAAUGAUACAGAGAAAAUUAAUAUGGCCCCUGCUGAGGGAUGAUACACACAUUCAUGAAGUGCUCCUUUUUUGU
This is a small nuclear RNA of Microtus ochrogaster (prairie vole), 107 nucleotides long. Lineage: Eukaryota; Metazoa; Chordata; Mammalia; Rodentia; Cricetidae. The record is from Ensembl.